AGUAACACGUAAACAACCUGCCUUCAGGAUGGGGACGACAGACGGAAACGACUGCUAAUACCGAAUACGUUCCACGGGCCGCAUGACCUGUGGAAGAAAGGGUAGCCUCUACCUGUAAGCUAUCGCCUGAAGAGGGGUUUGCGUCUGAUUAGGCAGUUGGUGGGGUAACGGCCCACCAAACCAACGAUCAGUAGCCGGUCUGAGAGGAUGAACGGCCACACUGGAACUGAGACACGGUCCAG
Molecule: ribosomal RNA, 242 nt
Filed under: uncultured Veillonellaceae bacterium
Lineage: Bacteria; Bacillati; Bacillota; Negativicutes; Veillonellales; Veillonellaceae
Description: partial 16S ribosomal RNA
Rfam family: Bacterial small subunit ribosomal RNA
Source: RNAcentral